This 414-nucleotide ribosomal RNA is filed under the name uncultured bacterium. RNAcentral's name for it is "bacterial SSU rRNA". It matches the Rfam family "Bacterial small subunit ribosomal RNA", at positions 8 to 422 of the family's 1533-position model. The record is from RNAcentral.
AGAGUUUGAUCCUGGCUCAGAUUGAACGCUGGCGGCAUGCCUAACACAUGCAAGUCGAACGGCAGCACAGGUAGCAAUACCGGGUGGCGAGUGGCGGACGGGUGAGUAAGGCAUCGGGAUCUACCCUGACGUGGGGGAUAACCUCGGGAAACCGGGACUAAUACCGCAUACGUCCUACGGGAGAAAGCGGGGGACCUUCGGGCCUCGCGCGGCAGGACGAACCGAUGUGCGAUUAGCUAGUUGGCGGGGUAAUGGCCCACCAAGGCGACGAUCGCUAGCUGGUCUGAGAGGAUGAUCAGCCACACUGGGACUGAGACACGGCCCAGACUCCUACGGGAGGCAGCAGUGGGGAAUAUUGGACAAUGGGCGCAAGCCUGAUCCAGCAAUGCCGCGUGUGUGAAGAAGGCCUUCGGG